Molecule: long non-coding RNA, 214 nt
Filed under: Citrus maxima (pomelo)
Lineage: Eukaryota; Viridiplantae; Streptophyta; Magnoliopsida; Sapindales; Rutaceae
Description: long non-coding RNA (CMAX_LNC004256)
Source: RNAcentral
GCCGAAGACGAGUACGACGAAUAAUCCCCUUUAGAAUCCCCUGUUCCCCUUCAUUUAUCCUUCCUUUUUUUUUCUUUAUAUUCUAUAUUCUCCGCUUCCUUAUCUUAUGUUUAGCAUCUAGGUCUAGUCGAAUUUGAUUCUAGUCUAAUAGAAUCGAAAACUAUUGACACAUUCUAUGAUAUUUAAAUAUGGUAAUAGUGACAUUCUCCAGUUU